This 86-nucleotide transfer RNA is filed under the name Candidatus Acetothermia bacterium. RNAcentral describes it as "tRNA-Ser". It matches the Rfam family "tRNA". Rfam says of the family: Transfer RNA (tRNA) molecules are approximately 80 nucleotides in length. Their secondary structure includes four short double-helical elements and three loops (D, anti-codon, and T loops). The record is from RNAcentral. Lineage: Bacteria; Candidatus Bipolaricaulota.
GGAGGGAUGGCCGAGCGGUCGAAGGCGACGGUCUUGAAAACCGUUAGGUGAAAGCCUCGGGGGUUCGAAUCCCUCUCCCUCCGCCA